RNAcentral lists this transfer RNA (62 nucleotides) under Nephus sp. 1 EL-2020. Its description in RNAcentral is "tRNA-Asp". Lineage: Eukaryota; Metazoa; Arthropoda; Insecta; Coleoptera; Coccinellidae. The record is from RNAcentral.
AAAAAUUUAGUUAAAUUAUAACGUUAGUUUGUCAAACUAGAAUUAUCUUCAGAUAAUUUUUA